This 1029-nucleotide long non-coding RNA is filed under the name Zonotrichia albicollis (white-throated sparrow). RNAcentral describes it as "lncRNA (ENSZALG00000001252.1)". The record is from RNAcentral. Lineage: Eukaryota; Metazoa; Chordata; Aves; Passeriformes; Passerellidae.
UUUUUCUUGGUCCUGGUCGAGUAAAAACCCAGAAAAAUACCCCAAGAUAGGCUAGAAAAGACCCAAAAAACCCAGUAAAAAAAACCCAAGAUGGGCAACAAAAAAACCCCACAAAAACCCAGGGAAAAAAACUCAAGAUGGGCAAGAAAAAAAUCAAUAAAAAAACCAGAACAAUCCCAGGAAAAAACCUCAAAAUGGGCAAGAGCAAACCCAGAAAAAAAGCCUAAAAAACCCCAAGAUGGGCAAGAAAAACCCAGGAAAAAAAACAAGAAAAAAACCCCAAGAAGGGCAAGAAAAACCCAGAAAAAAACCCCAAGAUGGGCAACAAAAAAACCCAAAAAACCCCACAAGAUGGGCAAGAAAAAAAUCAACAAAAAACGCAGGAAAAUCCCAGAAAAAAACCCCCAGGAUGGGCAAGAAAAAUCUCAGAAAAAAACCCAAGAUGGACCAGAAAAAACACAAAAAAACCAAGAAAAAAACCCCGGAAAAAUAAAAACGGAAAAAAAAACCCCAAGCUGGGCAAGAAAAAUCCAGAAAAGAACCCAGAAAAAAAAGCCCAAGAUUGGCAAGAAAAACACCCAGACAAAAAACUCCAAGAUGGGCAAGAAAAAAUCAACGAAAAACCCAGAAAAAUCACAGAAAAAACCCCCAAGAUGGGCAAGAAAAAAACCAGAAAACUGCCACAGAAAACCCAGGAAAAAAAACCAAGAUGGGGAAGAAGAAACCCAGAAAAAAAACCCCCAAGACUGGCAAGAAAAAAACCAGAUAAAACCCCAAGAUGGGCAAGAAAAACCUGUCGUAAAUACGGCCGUAAAGCGCGACUGUCGUAAAUACGGCACCUUUUACGGCCGUGUUUACGACAGUCGCUCUUUGAGGAAUGGAGUGAGGAAUGGAAUUUGUGCAAGGAGCAGCACAGGAUCACAGAGCACCAAGGCUUAUUCUGUAAGGCCCUACAGGAGCCAAAUCCCAGGUAAAGCCAUUCCCUAGGGCAGUCCUCCCUCAGAUAAAUAGGAGUGAUUUCCACAGUAU